CAUGGAACACAUUGGCCUUUGCAUCUUCUAAUUUUAUCACUCUGUUGUGCUUUGUUAGCUGGAAUUUUGGGUGGACUUCUUGGUGUAGGUAGUGGAUUUGUUAUGGGUCCUUUGUUUAUUGAAUUGGGAAUUGCUCCUCAGGUAACUUCUAGUACUAAAAUCUACACUUUCACUUUCAUUCUUUUUGUUUAGAAGCUUAACAAUGAUUUAGCUUAACAAUGAGAUGUGUUAGAUUAUAAUUGAAAUAGACUAUAAAAAAAUUAAUCCUCUCAAUAAUAGUUCAAUCCUAUUGUAUUCUAUCAUUACAUAAAUUGAUCAAAAUAUAGUUAUUUUAUAUAGUUCAUAAAUUUGCAGGUAGCAAGUGCCACAGCUACAUUAGGAAUGACAUUCACAGCAUCUAUAUCUGUUGUACAAUAUUACCUCUUGAACCGUUUUCCUGUUCCUUAUGGUAAAAUUAAUUAAACUUCAUACAUGUUUCACUUUUUUAUUUAUUUAUAAAAUAUGGUCAUAAAAUUCAAUUGUAUAUUUUUCAUAUAAUACUUAUGUUUCAUUCUGAAUUGCAGCACUCUACCUUACCCUUGUGGCUACGGUUGCAGCAUACAUAGGACAAAAAAUCAUUGACAAGCUCAUCAAUAUUUUUCAAAGGGCUUCCUUGAUUAUCUUUGUCUUGUCUUUCACAAUACUUGUCAGUGCAAUUGCACUAGGUGAGUACUAAUAUAUGUUGUUUGUAAUGAGUUGCUAUUUGUCAUUUUUGCUUUGUUUAUGUAUAGAAAAUGUUGAGUGAAAUAUUUUAAAUUUGUUGGGGAGUCCAGAAGUAACAACGAGUCAAAUGUUUCAGAAUCCUCGUGAUAUUUUGACAUCACAUCUUCACCCAAAACCUUAAGGCAAUGUGUAUAUGACUCACUUCUCUCAUAUAUAUAUUUUCAACAUUUCCUCAGUUCCUAGUCGAUGUGGGACGAACCAUGGCUUUUAUACCACUUGUUGGGGAGUCCGGGACACAGGAGCAACAACAAACCAAAUACUUUAGGAUCCCACGUCGACUUGAAAAUGAGGAAAUGUUGUAAAUAUAUAUAUAAUAGAAGUGACUCAUAUACUCAUUUACUUAAAAUUUUGAGUGGAAAUAUAGUAUCAAAGUCUCUUGAGAAUCUUGAAGCAUUUGAUCCAUUGUUGUUCCCUCACUCUCAAACUCUCUAACAAAAUUGUAGUUGUGGUUGUAGAUUAUAAUGCAAUUCUUGAUAUUGCAAAAAAAUUGCAAUCAUAUGCAAUUGAAAUGGCCGCAAUUGUAGUCGCAAUGUGGUUGUAUAGGGAAAUGGAUUAACAUGCGACUGGCUGCAACUACAAUCACAGUGUCGUUGCAGAGGCUUUUAAAAUAUCUAUAACAAUAGUUUACAAACUAACAGGUACAAUUAAAAUCGUUGUCGUAGUGUAAUUGCAGAGGCCACCAAAACUUAUUUAUAACAACGGUUCUAGACUGCAAUUUAAAAAGUUAUCACUACAACUAAUUAGAUUUUACAUUUUAAACUUUUAUUUUACCUAUGUCUAGCUUUGUGAAAGCGACUUCCUUAACUAUAAAUUUUCUAUGGUUGUAUACAGGUGGAGUAGGAAUAUCACACAUGAUUGAGAAGAUUCAGAGGAAUGAAUAUAUGGGAUUUGAGGACCUUUGUUACUAGCUAGUAGUAUAGUAGGAUGCAUAUAUAGAGAGUUUCAUGUAUUAAUUUUGCACGAUUUAGUGUUAUUGUAUGCCUUUGCCACACAUGAAGAGGACAAUAUUUUGUUCUAUUCAAUUUUCAAAGGUUGAAUGAAUUUUUAUUAAUGAAAACGAUAAAUAACAAAAAUGUAUAAGUUGUGUCAACUCAUACAGUACAUCUUAUUAUUACUUUCUGUGAGAAGUAAUUGAAUUUGUCUCAAAAUAAUUGAAAAUUUUUCAAGAUAAAAAAAAAAAUAAAAAUAGUCCUUUUGUGAAUUUGGUUUUCUUUUUGUAGUUUGCCUGUAAAUUCAUUUUUCAUUUUUAGACUUAAGAAACAUGGAUACUUAGUUUAAUAUGUUAUGUACAAAUAAUGUGCACUAGAUAAACUUUUGUUACGAAAGAAAUCAAUUAACUAAAAAAUGUAUACACUCUUAGUCUGAUUUUAUAUAUAAGAAAAAUUAUAAUUUUUAAGGUGU
RNAcentral lists this long non-coding RNA (2163 nucleotides) under Cicer arietinum (chickpea). RNAcentral's name for it is "long non-coding RNA (CARI_LNC001260)". The record is from RNAcentral. Lineage: Eukaryota; Viridiplantae; Streptophyta; Magnoliopsida; Fabales; Fabaceae.